Molecule: ribosomal RNA, 468 nt
Filed under: uncultured bacterium
Lineage: Bacteria
Description: partial 16S ribosomal RNA
Rfam family: Bacterial small subunit ribosomal RNA
Source: RNAcentral
GACGAACGCUGGCGGCGUGCUUAACACAUGCAAGUCGAACGGAAAGGCCCUGCUUUUGUUGGGUGCUCGAGUGGCGAACGGGUGAGUAACACGUGAGUAACCUGCCCUUGACUUUGGGAUAACUUCAGGAAACUGGGGCUAAUACCGGAUAGGAGCUCCUGCUGCAUGGUGGGGGUUGGAAAGUUUCGGCGGUUGGGGAUGGACUCGCGGCUUAUCAGCUUGUUGGGGGGGUAGUGGCUUACCAAGGCUUUGACGGGUAGCCGGCCUGAGAGGGUGACCGGCCACAUUGGGACUGAGAUACGGCCCAGACUCCUACGGGAGGCAGCAGUGGGAAAUAUUGCACAAUGGGCGGAAGCCUGAUGCAGCAACGCCGCGUGCGGGAUGACGGCCUUCGGGUUGUAAACCGCUUUCGCCUGUGACGAAGCGUGAGUGACGGUAAUGGGUAAAGAAGCACCGGCUAACUACGUG